UUUNNNCAUGGCUCAGAUUGAACGCUGGCGGCAGGCCUAACACAUGCAAGUCGAGCGGAAACGAGUUAUCUGAACCUUCGGGGAACGAUAACGGCGUCGAGCGCGGACGGGNNNNAAUGCCUANNAAAUUGCCCUGAUGUGGGGGAUAACCAUUGGAAACGAUGGCUAAUACCGCAUAAUGCCUACGGGCCAAAGAGGG
Molecule: ribosomal RNA, 199 nt
Filed under: uncultured bacterium
Lineage: Bacteria
Description: partial 16S ribosomal RNA
Rfam family: Bacterial small subunit ribosomal RNA
Source: RNAcentral